GCUUGUCUCAAAGAUUAAGCCAUGCAUGUCUAAGUACAAGCCUCAGUAAGGUGAAACCGCGAAUGGCUCAUUAAAUCACACCUAAUCUACUGGAAAGUUACUAGUUACUUGGAUAACUGAGGUAAUUCUUGAGCUAAUACAUGCGAAAAAUCUCGACUCACGGAGAGAUGCUUUUAUUAGAUCAAAACCAACUUUGUUGGUGAAUCAUAAUAACUUCUCGGACCGCAUGGCCUCGUGCUGGCGGUGCUUCAUUCAAAUAUCUGCCCUAUCAACUGUCGAUGGUAGGAUAGAGGCCUACCAUGGUUGCAACGGGUAACGGGGAAUAAGGGUUCGAUUCCGGAGAGGGAGCCUGAGAAACGGCUACCACAUCCAAGGAAGGCAGCAGG
RNAcentral lists this ribosomal RNA (386 nucleotides) under uncultured fungus. Its description in RNAcentral is "partial small subunit ribosomal RNA". It matches the Rfam family "Eukaryotic small subunit ribosomal RNA", at positions 30 to 432 of the family's 1831-position model. The record is from RNAcentral. Lineage: Eukaryota; Fungi.